UGGGGAAUAUUGCACAAUGGGCGCAAGCCUGAUGCAGCCAUGCCGCGUGUGUGAAGAAGGCCUUCGGGUUGUAAAGCACUUUCAGCGGGGAGGAAGGCGUUAAGGUUAAUAACCUUGGCGAUUGACGUUACCCGCAGAAGAAGCACCGGCUAACUCCGUGCCAGCAGCCGCGGUAAUACGGAGGGUGCAAGCGUUAAUCGGAAUUACUGGGCGUAAAGCGCACGCAGGCGGUCUGUCAAGUCGGAUGUGAAAUCCCCGGGCUCAACCUGGGAACUGCAUUCGAAACUGGCAGGCUAGAGUCUUGUAGAGGGGGGUAGAAUUCCAGGUGUAGCAGUGAAAUGCGUAGAGAUCUGGAGGAAUACCGGUGGCGAAGGCGGCCCCCUGGACAAAGACUGACGCUCAGGUGCGAAAGCGUGGGGAGCAAACAGC
This 429-nucleotide ribosomal RNA is filed under the name Chloroflexota bacterium. RNAcentral's name for it is "Chloroflexi bacterium partial 16S ribosomal RNA". It matches the Rfam family "Bacterial small subunit ribosomal RNA", at positions 355 to 776 of the family's 1533-position model. Lineage: Bacteria; Bacillati; Chloroflexota. The record is from RNAcentral.